UGAGAUGUUGGGUUAAGUCCCGUAACGAGCGCAACCCUUGUCCUUAGUUACCAGCACGUAAUGGUGGGCACUCUAAGGAGACUGCCGGUGACAAACCGGAGGAAGGUGGGGAUGACGUCAAGUCAUCAUGGCCCUUACGGCCUGGGCUACACACGUGCUACAAUGGUCGGUACAGAGGGUUGCCAAGCCGCGAGGUGGAGCUAAUCCCAGAAAACCGAUCGUAGUCCGGAUCGCAGUCUGCAACUCGACUGCGUGAAGUCGGAAUCGCUAGUAAUCGCGAAUCAGAAUGU
RNAcentral lists this ribosomal RNA (290 nucleotides) under uncultured bacterium. RNAcentral describes it as "partial 16S ribosomal RNA". It matches the Rfam family "Bacterial small subunit ribosomal RNA", at positions 1068 to 1357 of the family's 1533-position model. The record is from RNAcentral.